This is a long non-coding RNA of Oxyura jamaicensis (ruddy duck), 1278 nucleotides long. RefSeq lists it as uncharacterized. The transcript is spliced from 4 exons. Lineage: Eukaryota; Metazoa; Chordata; Aves; Anseriformes; Anatidae. The record is from RefSeq and is a predicted model, not a curated record.
GGGCGGCGCGGGCUCCCCUCAGGCGGCCGCCUCCCGCCACGUCGAGCGGCGCAGAGCCCCUCAGCCUGGCUCCUGCCCGCAGCCCCGGCGGGAGGGCUCUUCUCAGCUCCUCCUCAGUUUGAAACGCGGCCCAGAAAAGGGUGAGGAGAUAGCAAAUCUGAUGAAGAAAGUUGAUGUUAGAGUCAAGCCAAAUGCUGCAUCAUGAAUAGUGAAUUUCUGGCAGACCUGUUGAGAAGUACCAUGAAGUUUCUUCUACCAUUGAAACUGGCAAGUUACAAAUAUACUGUGAAAGACAGAAUUUAAGGAUAUGUGGAAGUGACGCAGCUCAAGAUGUGCUUCAGAAAAGUAAUAUGCCAGAAUAUGAUGUAAAAUAAUGCUUCAUUCUCAAAUAAAGAUGCCUGUUUUGCUCUUGGCUGAAGUCAGCCAUAUAGGAUCUGAACGGGAAUGCUCCCUUGUAUUAGUAGCAUCUCACCGACAUUUACCUUGAGGUAUCUGUAAUUUACAUAUAUAAAAUAAAUUUCAGACCCUGUACAGUUUUUCUGUACAGUACUGAUUUUUUGUGUGUCUCAGAAUGUUGUAUAAACCUAAUCAAAUGCUUUGCAGAAGGCUUUUAUGUCAAAACAGUUCCUUUGAUCAAACAAACCUGUAUUCAGGGGAAAAAAAAAAAAAAAAAAAAAAGUGUUGUUUGGCAAGACUGAGUUCUCCUAAAGCUGUUUUGACUCUUUUUAGUUAUUCUAGCAUCCCUAAUUCUAAACUGAUUGUGUUCUUUAUCAGCCAUUUUAUGAUUCUACCAAUAAUCAAUGUCAAAGUAAUUAGCAUAUAUAUUACAUGGCUAUUCUUUUAUUCCUUAAAAAAUCUAUAUAUUAGUAGGAGGAAAAAGGUCAAAGUAGGUUGUAAGUAACUAGCAUAUAUAUUACAUGGCUAUUUUUUUAUUCCUUAAAAAUUCUAUAUAUUAGUAGGAGGAAAAAGGUCAAAGUAGGUUGUAAUUAAAUAUAAAGAAAUAGGGGCAAUUCAGUGAAGAGUGGAUUUAUGGGAAAUAAAAGAAUCUGAAACUAUAUUACAAUAUACUUAUAUAUACAGUGAGGGAAUACUAAUAUUGAUGUUUCUGCACUGAUGAGAACUUUCACUUUUAAUUUAUCACUUAUUUCUUUUAGGAGUGCUAUAUUCCAUGGAAACAGAAUUCUUACACAAUCAUAGAUAGCACACUUGUCUGUAGGAUGCUAGAUUUCAUCAUCAAAAUAGUUAGUACACCUUACAUUAAAAAAAAAAAAAAAAAAA